This 330-nucleotide transfer-messenger RNA is filed under the name Patescibacteria group bacterium. It matches the Rfam family "transfer-messenger RNA". Rfam says of the family: Bacterial tmRNA, also known as 10Sa RNA or SsrA, is named for its dual tRNA and mRNA-like properties. Its role is to liberate the mRNA from a stalled ribosome. The record is from RNAcentral.
GGGGGCGAAAGGCUUCGACGGUCGCUUUACCCAGGAAUAAGCAGGUCGAGCGCCUACUCGUUAAACAGGCACCAAAACAUAACUGCCAAUAACAGUUACGCUUCCGCUCCGGCUUUAGCUUACGCUUAAGGCCUGAACGGCAUCGGUCCCGCAACGCCUAAUAGCGGAAUCCCGGUGUUAUACAUUAGGCUCGUCUCAGGGAACUCUUAGCCGGCCCUGGGGCAAAAUAAAGGCUAGGAAGGCCGCCCCGGGCCCUAUCGGGGAGCUAAGCUUGUAGAAAGUUCCUGAGUUUACUUCCGGACGGGGGUUCAAUUCUCCCCGCCUCCACCA